UAUCCCGUNACCGAGCGCAAACCCUUGUCCUUAGUUACCAGCUACGUUAUGGUGGGCUACUCUAUAGGAGUACUGCCGGUGACAAACCGGAGGAUAGGUGGGGUAUGUACGUCUAUAGUCUAUCUAUGGCCCUUACGGCCUGGGCUUACUACUACGUGCUACAUAUGGUCGGUACAAUAGGGUUGCCAAGCCGCGUAGGUGGUAGCUAUAUCCCAUAANAACCGAUCGUAGUCCGGAUCGCUAGUCUGCAACUCGACUGCGUGAAGUCGGAAUCGCUAGUAUAUCGCGUAUAUCAGUAUAUGUCGCGGUGUANAUACGUUCCCGGGCCUUGUACACACCGCCCGUCACACCAUGGGAGUGGGUUGCACCUAGAAGUAGCUAGUCUUAACCUUCGGGAGGACGGUUACCACGGUGUGAUUCAUGACUGGGGUGAAGUCGUACAAGGUAGCCGUAGGGGAACCUGCGGCUGGAUCACCUCCUUGUAAGAACGACAGGCACAGUUNUCAGAUUUGUAAAANCAACCCGGNCUAAUGCUUAGAGCAUAACGACGCGCUAGUCGUUUUAGGUCA
Molecule: ribosomal RNA, 569 nt
Filed under: uncultured bacterium
Lineage: Bacteria
Description: bacterial SSU rRNA
Rfam family: Bacterial small subunit ribosomal RNA (bases 1-482)
Source: RNAcentral